AUUGAACGCUGGCGGCAUGCCUUACACAUGCAAGUCGAACGGCAGCACGGGAGCAAUCCUGGUGGCGAGUGGCGAACGGGUGAGUAAUAUAUCGGAACGUGCCCGGUCGUGGGGAUAACGUAGCGAAAGCUACGCUAAUACCGCAUACGAUCUACGGAUGAAAGCGGGGGAUCGCAAGACCUCGCGCGAUUGGAGCGGCCGAUAUCAGAUUAGGUAGUUGGUGAGGUAAAGGCUCACCAAGCCGACGAUCUGUAGCUGGUCUGAGAGGACGACCAGCCACACUGGGACUGAGACACGGCCCAGACUCCUACGGGAGGCAGCAGUGGGGAAUUUUGGACAAUGGGCGCAAGCCUGAUCCAGCAAUGCCGCGUGCAGGAUGAAGGCCUUGGUGUAACUAGCUUUGUCGGUAACGAACGGUAGAGCUCUAAUACAGUUUG
RNAcentral lists this ribosomal RNA (437 nucleotides) under uncultured bacterium. Its description in RNAcentral is "bacterial SSU rRNA". It matches the Rfam family "Bacterial small subunit ribosomal RNA", at positions 30 to 473 of the family's 1533-position model. The record is from RNAcentral.